This 215-nucleotide long non-coding RNA is filed under the name Vitis vinifera (wine grape). RNAcentral's name for it is "long non-coding RNA (VVIN_LNC004560)". The record is from RNAcentral. Lineage: Eukaryota; Viridiplantae; Streptophyta; Magnoliopsida; Vitales; Vitaceae.
UUGGAGAAGGUUUGGAAGUAGAUGCUGUUUAACUUGACGAAUGGGCAGAAUAAUCUCACAUCUGUCAGGAUUGGCAUCAGUAUGUGACAAUCUUUUUCGAAUUGUCCAUGGAUUGAGGGGUGCUUGGACUUCUUCCCUUUCAUUUGCGGGGAUGUUUAGAUUAAUCUCCCUUUCACCUCUACCUUCUUCCAUAAUAGCCAAAAGAAAUACCUUUC